Pseudophryne corroboree (corroboree frog) is the source of this 397-nucleotide long non-coding RNA. RefSeq lists it as uncharacterized. The record is from RefSeq and is a predicted model, not a curated record. The transcript has 2 exons. NCBI's taxonomy places the organism in Eukaryota, Metazoa, Chordata, Amphibia, Anura, Myobatrachidae.
GCCCCCGCUGCAUUAUGCCUUCGAUUCGAUAGCCUGUUGGGAGGGGAGUUUUGCUGGCAGGUACCCCAAUGUUGGUUAGGGAGAAGGAGCUGAUCACCAGGCUUCCCAGCAAGAGCCCAGCCCUGACAGAAGGACAGGAAAUCCCUCCAGCAGCACUGCAAAAGAGGCUCCUGUGGGUCUGUACUUUCAUCCUCCACAGCUACUGCAGGCAGUCUGACAAUGGGCAAGACAGACCUUUAGUGACCAGGACAAUUGCUGGCUGAUCAUGAAACAAAAUCACAUGCAAUGACUGUAGUAACCAGAGAUUUCCAGCCUUUUCUGUUUAUGUUAUGUGCAAGGAGGGCUUUGUAGUCUCAUUAUCUCAUUUUAAUCACAAAUAAAAGAUGACAGGGCUAUG